AUAUCUUUCUAGAUCAAUCCCUUUGCCCCUCAUUCUUCGAGAAUCAGAGUCUUUUUGGGUUUGAAUUUGUUCAUAUGGAAUCUGGGUGGUUCUUUCUUUCUUCUUUUUGAUUUAUUUUCUUUUAUUCUUUCUUUCUAUUUUCUUUUGCUCUCUUUUCUUUUUACUUUUUGUUCCCUUCCAUCAUUCCUUAAGUCCCAUAGGUUUGAUCUGAUCCUGUAGAAUUUAUGUCUACUCCCCAACAUUUCACAUAUUACUUUUAAUC
Molecule: long non-coding RNA, 262 nt
Organism: Telopea speciosissima
Lineage: Eukaryota; Viridiplantae; Streptophyta; Magnoliopsida; Proteales; Proteaceae
Exons: 3
Source: RefSeq, a predicted model, not a curated record